Molecule: long non-coding RNA, 691 nt
Organism: Panicum virgatum (switchgrass)
Lineage: Eukaryota; Viridiplantae; Streptophyta; Magnoliopsida; Poales; Poaceae
Exons: 5
Source: RefSeq, a predicted model, not a curated record
AUUUUGGGACAACACAAACAAAGCUAAGGCAGGGCGACAGCACCAAGAGGACCGUCACUAUACAGACAACAAGCAACAUCCUCUUAGAUGUUGUGCUUUGGUCAGAGCGUGCCACAGCUUUCCCAGCAGAUGAAAUACUCAAAGAUGGCCAGACUUCUCCACAUGUUGUGUUGUUUGUUGGUACUCUUGUCAAAAGCUUUGGAGGUAUGUCCUUGUCCGGGAGUUCGUCUUGCAAGUGGUACAUCAAUCCUGACAUUCCUGACACAAAGAAACUUCUAGCUAGCGCCACAGCAGGGUAUAAGCCAAUUGCUUGGUCUGAGAGCUCAAGUGCUGCUAUCCAAAAAGAACCUGCUCAGAAAAAAAGCUCUCUGAGAUUUUACAUCUCAAUCCAUUUGAGUUCCAGAAAACUGAGUUUAUAGUCACUGUCGCUGUAAAGAAGAUCGGCAGCAACUGGUGGUACAAUGCGUGCAAGAAAUGCAUGAAGACAGCAAAACACCAUGGUGAUUCCUACAAGUGCACAAAUGCUAAGUGCAACAACAUUGGGAUACCCAAUCCAAGGUUCAAGUUAUCCAUACUAGCUGGUGACGACACAAAUGCUGCUGAGUUCAUUCUGUUUGAGAGGCAAGCUCAGCGAUUGACAAGGAAAUCGGCUGACACCCUUGUGGCUGAAAACCCAACUGACUUCAUUCCA